RNAcentral lists this ribosomal RNA (499 nucleotides) under uncultured bacterium. RNAcentral's name for it is "bacterial SSU rRNA". It matches the Rfam family "Bacterial small subunit ribosomal RNA", at positions 28 to 525 of the family's 1533-position model. The record is from RNAcentral.
GAUGAACGCUAGCGGCAGGCUUAAUACAUGCAAGUCGAGGGGCAGCACGGGUAGCAAUACCUGGUGGCGACCGGCAAACGGGUGCGGAACACGUACGCAACCUUCCCGAAACUGGUGAAUAGCCCUCCGAAAGGAGGAUUAAUACACCGUAAGAUAAUGGAGUGGCAUCACUUUAUUAUUAUAGCUACGGCGGUUUUGGAUGGGCGUGCGCCUGAUUAGGUAGUUGGCGGGGUAACGGCCCACCAAGCCUGCGAUCAGUAACUGGUGUGAGAGCACGACCAGUCACACGGGCACUGAGACACGGGCCCGACUCCUACGGGAGGCAGCAGUAAGGAAUAUUGGUCAAUGGACGCAAGUCUGAACCAGCCAUGCCGCGUGAAGGAUGAAGGGCCCUCUGGGUUGUAAACUUCUUUUAUCUGGGACGAAAAAGGGAUUCUUCCCACUUGACGGUACCAGAGGAAUAAGCACCGGUAACUCCGUGCCAGCAGCCGCGGUAAUG